Molecule: long non-coding RNA, 549 nt
Filed under: Lynx pardinus (Iberian lynx)
Lineage: Eukaryota; Metazoa; Chordata; Mammalia; Carnivora; Felidae
Source: RNAcentral
CUUCCUCUUCACCCUCUCCUUCAGUAGAAUCCACACCGACCUCCUCAUAAUCCUUCCCAAGGGCAGCCAUGUCCUCACGGGCCUCAGAAAACUCUCCUUCCUCUAUGCGCUUACCCACUACCAGUGAACAAAGGCAUGCUUGGCAUACAUCAGGUCAAACUUGUAGUCCAGGUGAGCCCAGGCCUCAGUGAUGGCUAUGGUGUUGCUUAGCAUGCACACAGCUCGCUGUACUUUGGCCAGGUCUCCACCAGGUACCACAGUGAGAGGCUGGUAAUCAAUGCCAACUUUGAAGCCAAUGGGACACCAGUCUACAAACUGGAUGCUGCACUUGGUCUUGAUAGUGGCAAUGGCAGCACUGACAUCUUUGGGAACCAUGUCGCCAUGGUGCAACAGGCAGCAAGCCAUAUGUUUACCAUGGGGAGCGUCAUAUUUCACCACCUGAUUGGCUGGCCCAAAGCAUGCAGGUGUUCAUGGUAGACUUCUCAGCAGAGGUGACAGGGGCAUAUGUGGCCAGAGGGAAGUGGAUGUGGGGAUAGGGCACCCGGUUGG